AGAGUUUGAUCCUGGCUCAGAGCGAACGUUAGCGGCGCGCUUAACACAUGCAAGUCGCACGAGAAAGGGCUUCGGCCCCAGUAAAGUGGCGCACGGGUGCGUAACACGUAGGCAAUCUUCCCUUGAGCGGGGGAUAACGUUUCGAAAGAGACGCUAAUACCGCAUAAGACCACGUACUCCUCGGAGGAUGCGGUCAAAGCUGGCCUCUUCACGAAAGCCAGCACUCAAGGACGAGCCUGCGGCCCAUCAUGCUAGUUGGUAGGGUAAUGGCCUACCAAGGCGAAGACGGGUAGCUGGUCUGAGAGGAUGAUCAGCCACACUGGCACUGAAACACGGGCCAGACUCCUACGGGAGGCAGCAGUGGGGAAUAUUGGACAAUGGGCGCAAGCCUGAUCCAGCGACGCCGCGUGAGUGAUGAAGGCCUUCGGGUUGUAAAGCUCUGUUGAGGGAGAAGAAAACGGCUGGCGCGAAUAGCUCCAGUCCUUGACGGUAUCCCUUUAGAAAGCACCGGCUAACUCUGUGCCAGCAGCCGCGGUAAGACAGAGGGUGCAAACGUUGCUCGGAAUUACUGGGCGUAAAGCGCGUGUAGGCGGGCCUUCAAGUCGGACGUGAAAGCCCUGGGCUCAACCCAGGAACUGCAUCCGAAACUGAAGGCCUGGAGUGGUGGAGAGGGAAGCAGAAUUCCUGGUGUAGAGGUGAAAUUCGUAGAUAUCAGGAGGAACACCGGUGGCGAAGGCGGCUUCCUGGACACUUACUGACGCUGAGACGCGAAAGCGUGGGGAGCAAACAGGAUUAGAUACCCUAGUAGUCC
RNAcentral lists this ribosomal RNA (811 nucleotides) under uncultured bacterium. RNAcentral describes it as "bacterial SSU rRNA". It matches the Rfam family "Bacterial small subunit ribosomal RNA", at positions 8 to 796 of the family's 1533-position model. The record is from RNAcentral.